UACGUAGGGGGCUAGCGUUGUCCGGAUUUAUUGGGCGUAAAGAGCGUGUAGGCGGCCAGGUAGGUCUGCUGUGAAAACUCGAGGCUCAACCUCGAGACGUCGGCGGAAACCAUCUGGCUAGAGUCCGGAAGAGGUGAGUGGAAUUCCCAGUGUAGCGGUGAAAUGCGUAGAUAUUGGGAGGAACACCAGUGGCGAAGGCGGCUCACUGGACCGGAACUGACGCUGAGGCGCGAAAGCGUGGGGAGCGAACAGG
RNAcentral lists this ribosomal RNA (253 nucleotides) under uncultured bacterium. RNAcentral's name for it is "partial 16S ribosomal RNA". It matches the Rfam family "Bacterial small subunit ribosomal RNA", at positions 524 to 776 of the family's 1533-position model. The record is from RNAcentral.